This is a long non-coding RNA of Maniola jurtina (meadow brown), 68 nucleotides long. RefSeq lists it as uncharacterized. The transcript has 3 exons. The record is from RefSeq and is a predicted model, not a curated record. NCBI's taxonomy places the organism in Eukaryota, Metazoa, Arthropoda, Insecta, Lepidoptera, Nymphalidae.
GAACAUGUUGUUUUGGUAUAUUUUCAAAACUAAAAGCAUUAGGUAAUUGCAUAGCAAAUAGCAAUUUA